UGCAUGCCAGAUCGAUAUUGGCGCCGAACAUGUGCAACGAUGAAGUGUCUGCGCAAACCGGUCAGCAGGCAGCUGUAAAACGACCAAUUGCCCCCGCCCAGGAAGACGAACUAAUGCAUGCAAAGUUAGGCAGGUUACCGAUAUCUCGUGGAUGAUUUGUCUCCGUUUUUUCGUUUGACUAGUCCAUGGUUUGUUGUGGAAGGCAAUGUCGUUCAUGGCACGGAAGCCGGUUCCAAACAGCACUGCACGAUAAGAGUGUUGCCAGCGGACUACGCAAACAUAGCACGUAGUUGUCGUACAAUACGUCAUCGGUAAAGUUUAAUCCAGGACCAUUUGUUAUGAGGGGGCUAAUGAAAGGGUUGGGAGUCACUACUGUCACCAGAACACACACACACACACACCAUCACGUUUAUACAAACAUGUUAUCCACAUUCCAAGACCAUAUCAAAGCGCGUCUUGAGAGGCCUUUUCGGCGCCAGCAGCUACUUCACAUGCACUUCCAAACUGCCUGGCAUGGCGGAUGACGGAGCAAAUCGUGUCCACUGCAACGAACUAGCCAACUGUCGCUUGAGUGCUUGUAUGUUGGAUGCAUGCACGUAUGGCCCACAUUGGAACUACGGACACUUCAUUAACAGCUUCCUCUAUCGCCAGUCGCUUGGAGCACAUCCCAUGAGCCUCUGGGACAGCCCACUUAACAAGUCGUACACGUGCAACACAUCCCAUAUGUGGCGAAAGUAGGAAGGUCGAAACAAACCGGGCCCCUUGUCCGUCUUACUUACCAGACAGUGCCCCACAGCGUUCCAUCGAAGAUUUCAACACGGCCCUCGCUGGGACUGCUUCCGCCCACGAGUCUGAGACUGUAGAGAGAUGUCGGCGGCUCAGGAGGCGGUGGUGAUGGUAGUGGCGGCUGUGACGGCGGAUCUGGCGACCUCGUUCCUGCACAACCACAUAUUGAUCAGUCCGUGCAUGCUACCUUCACCUAAUACUCUAGUAUGUUAUGGAAAGCUUGCUUCAUCGCAACAAGGGGAACGCUCAUUACUACCUCUUGGAUUGUAAAUUAGGUGAAGACAUAUGUACACACAUAUAUACAUGCAUUGAUACAUAAACGUAUCGAAGUACAUGCACAUCAUAGUACGUCCAUACAUGGAUCCACAUUCAUGUAUGACAUUUGUCACCAUAUCAGUGUUCAAAUAAAUGCUGCUGUCCGUACAUCGUAUUGCAGGAACAGCGGUCAGAAGCCAGCAGCAGCCCUCCUAAGGGUGAUGAACCCAACACGCACGCAACCCACAUACCAUAGCAUCGAACACCAACGUCCUGCAUGCAUGGCAGGGUUCAUAAUGGAGCAAGUAUAUCGGCAGUCACCGGCGUGUACUGCAUAUUCCUGCUGAUGACGUGCUACAGUGAUGCGGACAGUGUGCGACUUCAUUAGGUAGCUUGCUGCUAGGAGAACGAUGAGCUAAAUAAAUGAUAUUUUAGUAGUGCUUUUGUAUCCCGGCUUUAUACCCCUACGAAGUACCAGUGCACUUGUUGUUUAUGUUAUGCAUUGCAUAUACAUCAUACAUUAUCGUUUCAUCAUCCUGUCUAUGACAUACCUAAAGAUGUUCGUGCGCUUAGGGGCGUCAGUAAAAAUUAUCUAGCGACGCGUUCGUAUAGUAGGUAGGGACCGUCCCUACCUAUUAAAAUUUUCAAUCGCCUGUAGACGACGCCCUCUUCUAACUUUACAAGAUAUAAAUAAAUUUUGCCGACGUGAGGCAAAGUAAAGCCAAGGCUUUCCGUGUGCUUGGCGGAAGCGAAUGUAUACCUACGGCAGCCUACGGUAGCUACGUAGCUACCUAUAGGCUCUUCAGCUUCACGCGCGAGUUGAUUGCCGAAUAUUGUCCUCGGUAACAUGGCCUGUCGCAUGCUCGUGCGUAAAUUGCGCGAGUUCACUCAUCAGCACUCCGACACCACAUACAGCAACGUGUGGGCUUCUGCCCGUGCCACCUGCAGGUCAGCCCACUAGUUCCCGUUGCCGGUUGAAACCUUGCUCACCUAACCUAUCAGGAAGCUAUGCUGUACAACUUGUACGUCUGUGAAAUUGAGGGAUGUCUAUAGGCAAUCUAUCCGGUGCAUGCCAUCUCUUCCCCAUCAUUCAGAUCAAAUCAAUAAGUGUUAUUGCUUAUUGGACCUGCGGUGGUUAGAGUUCCACCUAUCUGGACUACCUUCCAAAUGUCUUGUAUGAUGAUGACGCGCAUCCGGAUCCUGCAACAUAUGCCCAUGCUAUGUGCCGCCGUGGCACAAUGCUCGUCGGGACUCGUACAGUUCUUUAUUUUAAGUAAUAUAUUCCUUAAAAGGAAUAAACAGGCCAUUUUGGCCUUUGGAAAAAGGAAUGAAUUGAGGCCGAUCCGUACAUUUUCAUUCCUCCAGCCAAAAACGUCCAUUGCCGCCAGAUUGCUCCGUAGUGUGCAGAACUUAGUAUUUUCAAUCAUAGAAUAGGUAUGAGGGGCCGUAAGAAGGUCAAGCCCGUGAGUCAACGCGGCAUAGCAGAAUGUGUGACCGGUCCUCACAUAGCCAAACACGCAAAAGGCAACGACUCAAACGUCGAACAAACACCAAAACAGCAAGAUAUGCCUGAAAUUUUUCCUGAUAAAGGCGUUUGGGACGGCGGUGCUGUUGUCGGUAAUGCAUCGGCAAUGGUGUUGCUGCCAGCGGCGACGAGGAAGUGGCUGGACAGCAGCAGCAGGGGCCGGUACAUGAUGAACCGGUAGAGUCCUAGUGUGCUGUGGUUUGCAGUGGCGGGUGACGGCCUGUGAUUUGCUACGCGGUUGCUUGCUUUGGGCCUUUGCUUGGUCGAUUUUACUAAUUGCUCGCACAACAGUGCCAGAACUAUCUAUGCAUGUGCAUGAAGAGUGCGCACAUGAACGAAAACGCGCCAACUCAGUGCGUGCCUCUUGGUCUACUAGGGGAGUUGUAACUUAUUGGGGGGGUUCUGGAGGGGCGUAGCCCCCCCCAGCGCCCCACACUUAAGAUAUAUUACGACGACCCUAGCAACUUUGUUACUUGGGUUGGAAUAAAUUGAGACCCGCCCUAAAUGAAAAAAAAUCACUGGACUCGUAACAGUGCUACUCUCUGCUACUUGCGGCUACAGUUGUUUGAUACUACCUGGCUGGUGCCGUACAACGUGUGCCGAGGACCUUUCGAAGGUCGGCUACAUUUUUAGAGAUGCCUAGGGCCGGGCUAUGCUAUACAAACAGCCCUUCACGCACAGAAAUGUACCCGCAGUGUACCGUACUGCUACGAAUGUUUCGCGCCACACCUUUCGUUUUGGGCCACGAAGUGUGUCACAGUGGAAAAAGCUCUAUGGGGAACAUUAUUCACUUGUCGCGAAAAUGUGUGGCACGAAUGUGUUGUACGCCGUGUACAUGGUGUAGAACAGCCAGAACUGAGUUUUUACACGCCAGAACUGAAUUUUUCAUAUAGUUAUAGCUUCCUUUUAUUGUAACUGUUGUUUGCCGGACAUCCUGGCACGCUACGUGACAAUGCGUUGACCAUGAAGCCCUGUUGUGGCUUCCCUGGAGCCCCGCGAAAUGUGUGUUCAUGUAAACAAAUGUGUGCCAUAAAAACUGACAGCCCUCGCGAAUUGGUGUAACAAAACGAAAAAUUCCAGCUAUAUUUUUGGGGUACCCGCGAAAGGUGUGGCGCGAAACAUUCGUAGCAGUACGGUAGUCGCCCGCUGCAACAUAAUACUGCAGUGAACCACACGACACUGUGGAGAGGGUAAAACUAUCCAUUUAAAAAGUUCAAAUGAACUACAAAGAGCACAUCGAUAAACCUCGCAGGCAGAGUUCCCAAAUAUACGGUGGGCAAAAUGUUUCAACAAUUCUCGUGAGUACAAAGAAUAUUCGGUUCGAACAACCAGGGACGCCUUAUUUCCGACCAUUAAUGGACAAGCCCAUGGAUAAGGGACCAUAGGACCAUGCACCGUCGGUCGUCAAGGAUAUCGGUUCCUUACUUUACAUGUUUGUCGUAGGUAGCUAAGGAUCGGUAUUGCAUCCAAACAUGCUUACCUCAGAAUGGCUACAGUCAUGCAUGCCCCAGCCGUUGAAACGACACUGAUACAGCCGGCUCGGCGGUGGAGAGCCAUAACAAAAAACGUUAUCCUGAGGAGAGCACCGGUGGAUAGCAUGGUAAGUGUAUGUAUGUGGCGCGAACUCGUGGAGUGCGUGCCCUCAAAACUCACGCAAUCCUUGUGGCCUGGGUUGUCCUACCCAGCAGGUACCCCGGUAACCCGAGGUAUACAUAUUCCCACACGUAGACCUGCUGGUGGUGCGGCUAGCCUAUAGACCACGAGAGUGUUAAGAACCCACCUAACAUGUGCAUGGGGGGGGGCCAUGGUGAAGGCAUGAUCAACGUAUAUGGAGCUGGGUUAAGGUGCCGGGGACCUACAUAUCUGUACUAGCAUCUUUACUCAUCUAAACAAGCACGUUGCCAAGUCAGGAUACAUACAGGAAUUAAUUUCGUCGCAUUAUCCUGCUGGCCGGCUGAAAGCAAUUAAUGCGCAUGAUGCUCACCAUGAGGAUGGGACCGGUGCCACCACCCCAUGUUUGUACGGCAAUGCCUGUAUCGUAGCCUAGCUCCCGGCAAACCACCGUAGCCUCCGUGUCACCGAAACCAUCAUCGCUGCAAUAGCAACAACAAGCCAAAUAUAUGCGUGCAUGCCAGAUCGAUAUCGGCGCCGAACAUGUGCAAAGACGAAGUGUUUGCGCAAACCGUCCAGCAGGCAGCUCUAAAACGGCCAAUUGCCCCCGCCCAGGAAGACGAACUAAUGCAUGCAAAGUUAGGCAGGUUACCGAUAUCUCGUGGAUGAUUUGUCUCCGUUUUUUCGUUUGACUAGUCCAUGGUUUGUUGUGGAAGGCAAUGUCGUGCAUGGCACGGAAGCCGGUUCCAAGCAGCACUGCACGAUAAGAGUGUUGCCAGCGGACUACGCAAACAUAGCACGUAGUUGUCGUACAAUACGUCACACGCCAUCGGUUAAGGGUACUCCAGAACCAUUUGUUAUGAGGGGGCUAAUGAAAGGGUUGGGAGUCACUACUGGUCACCAGAACACACACACACACACACACACACGCCAUCACGUUUAUACAAACAUGUUAUCCACAUUCCAAGAUCAUAUCAAAGCGCGUCUUGAGAGGCCUUUUCGGCGCCAGCAGCUACUUCACAUGCACUUCCAAACUGCCUGGCAUGGCGGAUGACGGAGCAAAUCGUGUCCACUGCAACGAACUAGCCAACUGUCGCUUGAGUGCUUGUAUGUUGGAUGCAUGCACGUAUGGCCCACAUUGGAACUACGGACACUUCAUUAACAGCUUCCUCUAUCGCCAGUCGCUUGGAGCACAUCCCAUGAGCCUCUGGGACAGCCCACUUAACAAGUCGUACACGUGCAACACAUCCCAUAUGUGGCGAAAGUAGGAAGGUCGAAACAAACCGGGCCCCUUGUCCGUCUUACUUACCAGACACUGCCCCAACUAGAUCCAUAGAAGAUUUCAACACGGCCCUCGCUGGGACUGCUUCCGCCCACGAGUCUGAGACUGUAGAGAGAUGUCGGCGGCUCAGGAGGCGUUGGCGGCAGCAGGGGUGGUGAUUCUGGAGGUGGAGACAGAUCUUCUUCUGCACAACCACAUAUUGAUCAGUCCGUGCAUGCUAUCUUCACCAAAUGCUCUAGUAUGUUAUGGAAAGCUUGCUUCAUCGCAACAAGGGGAACGCUCAUUACUACCUCUUGGAUUGUAAAUUAGGAGAAGACAUAUGUACACACAUAUAUACAUGCAUUGAUACAUAAACGUAUCGAAGUACAUGCACAUCAUAGUACGUCCAUACAUGGAUCCACAUUCAUGUAUGACAUUUGUCACCAUAUCAGUGUUCAAAUAACAGCUGCUAUGCGUACAUCGUAUUGCAGGAACAGCGGUCAGAAGCCAGCAGCAGCCCUCCUAAGGAUGAUGAACCCCACACGCACGCAACCCACAUACCAUAGCAUCGAACACCAACGUCCUGCAUGCAUGGCAGGGUUCAUAAUGGAGCAAGUAUGUCGGCAGUCACCGGCGUGUACUGCAUAUUCCUGCUGAUGACGUGCUACAGUGAUGCGGACAGUGUGCGACUUCAUUAAGCCCACAUUAAAUUAAAUGUUGAAAAGUUAGUGUUCGGACAAGUGGAAACACCCUGUAACUCCUAAAUCGAUCUAAUUACAGGGGCCAGGGCUGAUAGCUGAGUUGGAAGAGGUGUUGAGGUGUCUGUCGUACACGCACGUAUGUUAGGGUACGGCACACGUUUUUCUACAUAUAUCAUGUUUUAAGGCAGCUAAAUGGAUUUGUGACGUCUUUUCGUUCAGAAUAGGAUUACAGAUAGCGUGUAGCACUUAUUGCCUGAAGUCUUAGGUUCGACCCCCUGAGAAAUGUGCACUUGUCAGUCUAAGUACAGGUGAGGAAGCAGAAAUCGGUGAUGUGGCUGGAGGACGAUCGUGUUUUUCAUCACGACCACCUCUUAAAAAUCCCAUAUUUUUAAGGCUUAAGAAUGUAAGCAACAGACAAAAUUCCCUGAGCAUAAGACUUAAGAAUGAGAGCCAUACUUAGCAAACCAGUGGUAGGAAUGGUUGAAAACCGCCAAAGAGCAGCUAAGUAUGCUUUGGUCGAAAAAUCAAUCAGUUACCCUAAGAACGUAUAAGAACACCCCAAAGAAUCAAAGAGAAUACAUAAGACUGCUGGGACCUAAAGAAUGCUAAAGAAUUUGAAAGUGUGGUUUUAAGAUAAACGGAGGUCAUACCAACGUUCUUAGGACGGUCAAAUAACGGUCAAAUAACGUUUUAAUGGUUAUCAAAUUUUAUCAAUUUGGCUUGGCUAAGAACGACUUAGGGUUAGAUGAGAAGACUUUCCUUCCUCAAGGCUAACCAAACCCAAGUCAUAAUAAUCCCCAGACCUUCACCCUGUAGAUCUCUAGAGCCAAAAUGAUUUCCAGCUAAGGUUCGUUGUUGUUUGAUGUUGCAUACAAUGUAUGCAACUCAUGGCACCAUGGCAAGCUCACCUCGGAGUGGUCGCAGUUGGCCCAGCCGUUAAAACCACACUGAAACAGCCGGCUCGGCAGUGGAGAGUCAUCACAAUCAACGUCAUCCUGAGAAGAGCACCGGUGGAUAGCAUGGUAAGUGUACGUAAGUAGCACGAACUCGUGGAGUGCGUGCCCUCAAAACUCACGCAAUCCUUGUGGCCUGGGUUGUCCUACCCAGCAGGUACCCCGGUGACCCGAGGUAUGCAUAUUCCCACACGUAGACCUGCUGGUGGUGCGGCUAGCCUAUAGCAACGAGGGUGUUAAGAACCCACCUAACAUGUGCAUGGGGGGCCCAUGGUGAAGGCAUGAUCAACGUAUAUAUGGAGCUAGGUUAAGGUGCCGGGGACCUACAUAUCUGUACUAGCAUCUUCACUCACCUAAACAAGCACGUUGCCAAGUCAGGAUACAUACAGGAAUUAAUUUCGUCGCGUUAUUCUGCUGGGCGGAUGAAACUAAGCAAUCAAUGCACACAAUGCUCACCAUGAGGAUGGGACCGGUGCCACCACCCCAUUGCUGUACAGCAACGCCUCUAACGUACCCUAGCUCCCGGCAAACCACCGUAGCCUCCGUGUCACCGAAACCGUCAUCGCUGCAAUAGCAACAACAAGCCAAAUAUGUGCAAAGACGGGGUACCGUGAUGCUAUGGAUAUAAGCACUUCCCUAUGUACCUCAACGCUAGCGGCCAUAGGCGUGACUCGCGUGCAAGUGGACUUAAGCGCGGCAUACGGCCUACUUUGGCUACAGGCUUAUUAUACUGCUGCACGCAGGCAGUUGUAAAAACGACCAAUUGCCCCUGCCCAGGUACACGAACUAGUUCAAGCAAAGUUAGAUAAGUUACGGAUAUCUCCUGAAUAAUAUUGUCUCCAUGUUUUCGUUUGACCUACUGUCCAUGAACUAUUUUUUGUCUCCAUACUGUUCAUCUAAUCCUUGAAGUGCGUAACCUAAAGUUCUGAAUGAUAAGGAGCGGGUUGCAAGCAGCAUUAAUAUUAAUGGCAGUAUGGAAGCUAUGCCAGCGGCGGAUCCAGCGUACAUCUCACACCGCCGCACACACUCAGUCUGCCUGGACGUGGAGGCUGUAGGAGCAUAAAGAAUCCCCUGCAACUAACUAGCUAUUCAACUGUCUUUGGUGCGCUUGUACGUUGGAUGUAUACUGGACAGCCCUAGACUGCAGCUGGCCCUUGCAAGGGCCAGCUGGGCCCGUUGGCCCAACUGCCAAUUGGGCCUCUGGCUCAUAUGGGCCUGUUUCCCCUCCAGAGAGUAACUCCACCAAGGUGGUAUCACACACAAUGCAUACUCUUUUGGCCCACAUUGGAACUACGGACACUUCAUUAACAGCUUCCUCUAUCGCCAGUCGCUUGGAGCACAUCCCAUGAGCCUCUGGGACAGCCCACUUAACAAGUCGUACACGUGCAACACAUCCCAUAUGUGGCGAAAGUAGGAAGGUCGAAACAAACCCUGCCCCUUGUCCGUCUUACUUACCAAACAGUGCCCCACAGCGU
This 8567-nucleotide long non-coding RNA is filed under the name Volvox carteri. RNAcentral describes it as "long non-coding RNA (VCAR_LNC001365)". Lineage: Eukaryota; Viridiplantae; Chlorophyta; Chlorophyceae; Chlamydomonadales; Volvocaceae. The record is from RNAcentral.